RNAcentral lists this ribosomal RNA (486 nucleotides) under uncultured Pseudomonas sp. Its description in RNAcentral is "bacterial SSU rRNA". It matches the Rfam family "Bacterial small subunit ribosomal RNA", at positions 30 to 507 of the family's 1533-position model. The record is from RNAcentral. Lineage: Bacteria; Pseudomonadati; Pseudomonadota; Gammaproteobacteria; Pseudomonadales; Pseudomonadaceae.
AUUGAACGCUGGCGGCAGGCCUAACACAUGCAAGUCGAGCGGCAGCACGGGUACUUGUACCCGGUGGCGAGCGGCGGACGGGUGAGUAAUGCCUAGGAAUCUGCCUGGUAGUGGGGGAUAACGCUCGGAAACGGACGCUAAUACCGCAUACGUCCUACGGGAGAAAGCAGGGGACCUUCGGGCCUUGCGCUAUCAGAUGAGCCUAGGUCGGAUUAGCUAGUUGGUGAGGUAACGGCUCACCAAGGCGACGAUCCGUAACUGGUCUGAGAGGAUGAUCAGUCACACUGGAACUGAGACACGGUCCAGACUCCUACGGGAGGCAGCAGUGGGGAAUAUUGGACAAUGGGCGAAAGCCUGAUCCAGCCAUGCCGCGUGUGUGGAGAAGGUCUUCGGAUUGUAAAGCACUUUAAGUUGGGAGGAAGGGCAGUUACCUAAUACGUAUCUGUUUUGACGUUACCGACAGAAUAAGCACCGGCUAACUCUGUG